RNAcentral lists this ribosomal RNA (247 nucleotides) under uncultured bacterium. RNAcentral's name for it is "partial 16S ribosomal RNA". It matches the Rfam family "Bacterial small subunit ribosomal RNA", at positions 523 to 769 of the family's 1533-position model. The record is from RNAcentral.
AUACGGAGGAUGCGAGCGUUAUCCGGAUUCAUUGGGUUUAAAGGGUACGUAGGUGGCCCGGUAAGUCAGUGGUGAAAACCUGCCGCUUAACGGUAGGCGUGCCAUUGAUACUGUCGGGCUUGAGUGCAGUUGAGGCAGGCGGAAUGUGUAGUGUAGCGGUGAAAUGCAUAGAUAUUACACAGAACUCCGAUUGCGAAGGCAGCUUGCUAAAGUGCAACUGACGCUGAUGUACGAAAGCGUGGGUAGC